Molecule: microRNA, 25 nt
Filed under: Canis lupus familiaris (dog)
Lineage: Eukaryota; Metazoa; Chordata; Mammalia; Carnivora; Canidae
Description: cfa-miR-8905
Source: miRBase by way of RNAcentral
UCCACAAAGAGGAUUCGGUCAGGCU